Molecule: ribosomal RNA, 253 nt
Filed under: uncultured bacterium
Lineage: Bacteria
Description: partial 16S ribosomal RNA
Rfam family: Bacterial small subunit ribosomal RNA
Source: RNAcentral
UACGUAGGGGGCGAGCGUUGUUCGGAAUUACUGGGCGUAAAGCGCGUGUAGGCGGCAGCGUGUGUCGGGCGUGAAAUCCCACGGCUCAACCGUGGAAGUGCACUCGAAACUGCGCAGCUAGAGUCCUGGAGAGGAAGGUGGAAUGCUUGGUGUAGAGGUGAAAUUCGUAGAUAUCAAGCGGAACACCGGUGGCGAAGGCGACCUUCUGGACAGUGACUGACGCUGAGACGCGAAAGCGUGGGGAGCAAACAGG